Molecule: ribosomal RNA, 462 nt
Filed under: uncultured bacterium
Lineage: Bacteria
Description: bacterial SSU rRNA
Rfam family: Bacterial small subunit ribosomal RNA
Source: RNAcentral
AGAGUUUGAUCAUGGCUCAGGAUGAAUGCUGGCGGCGUGCCUAAUACAUGCAAGUCGAGCGGUAAGGCCCUUCGGGGUACACGAGCGGCGGACGGCUGAGUAACGCGUGGGAACAUGCCCAAAGUGAGGGAUAACGCACCGAAAGGUGUGCUAAUACCGCAUAUGGUCUUCGGAAUAAAGGAUUUAUCCGCUUUGGGAGUGGCCCGCGUACGAUUAGAUUGUUGGUGAGGUAACGGCUCACCAAGUCGACGAUCGUUAACUGGUCUGAGAGGAUGAUCAGUCAGACUGGAACUGAGACACGGUCCAGACUCCUACGGGAGGCAGCAGUAAGGAAUCUUCCACAAUGGGCGAAAGCCUGAUGGAGCAACGCCGCGUGCAGGAUGAAGGCCCUCGGGUCGUAAACUGCUUUUAUGAGUGAAGAAUAUGACGGUAACUCAUGAAUAAGCACCGGCUAACUACGUG